UUUGAUAUCAUUUGUUUUGUGGAGUAGUUAUAAAGAUGAGAGGUAUUAAUUUGGCUAAAUUUUGGACGAGCAAGCAUCCAAGUCGGAGCACUAUAAAUCUUCCAAAAAUAAAUAGUCGUGGGCAUUUCCGGAUUAAAAUACAAAUUACAAUUUUCCAUGGUUGUUACAUUUCUCUGUUCGAUAAUAUUUUUUACUUCCAAAACCGCAGGGAUAACACCAUUUUGAUGCAUUAUGCCGAAGAAAACUGCCAAAACAACUGCAUACAUUACAAAUAAAAAUUUGAUCCAAUAUGAACGAACUAGACAUCCAGAGUUCACUAUAAAAAUAGAGGCUGCGGGUAGCAAAAACCUGGGCUCUUGGUGAGGAAACAGGGAUAGUAUGAAAACGGGGAGAAGCCAUAACCAAGUUGCAGGUUUUCGAACGUCCCAAAGCUUUGGAACAAAAAUCAGAGGACCACAAAGGAGUGGCAUAUUAGUGAAAAAAUGUGUUAAUCUUGAGUGCAAUCCGUGCUGUGACAAAUUUUCGAUUUGAGAAUUGUAUUUUAAAUUAUUCCAAAAUGUUAUCACAAACACCCCAUAAAACUUGUAGUCCUCGAGGAUGCAUGCUAAGACAGUUGCAAAAGAAACUGAAACAAAAAUACAUAAGUGCAAAAAGAUGCUAAUCCAGUUAGUGUUUAUUCCAUAAUAUAUUUUUAAUUCAAUUUAAAAAUCAAAAUCACUUACUCUUUCGGAUUGUUCACGUUCUUUUUAAAACAUCGAACAGAAAAAUAGAUAUAGGG
Schizosaccharomyces pombe (fission yeast) is the source of this 778-nucleotide non-coding RNA. The record is from the annotation of a GenBank genome assembly. NCBI's taxonomy places the organism in Eukaryota, Fungi, Ascomycota, Schizosaccharomycetes, Schizosaccharomycetales, Schizosaccharomycetaceae.